Rosa rugosa (rugosa rose) is the source of this 361-nucleotide long non-coding RNA. RefSeq lists it as uncharacterized. NCBI's taxonomy places the organism in Eukaryota, Viridiplantae, Streptophyta, Magnoliopsida, Rosales, Rosaceae. The record is from RefSeq and is a predicted model, not a curated record. The transcript is spliced from 3 exons.
AUCAGAGCCAGAAAGGAAGGAAGAGAGAGGGGGAGAGAGAGAAAGAGAAAGAAAGAAGGAAAGAAGGAAAGGGAGAGAGAUCCGUCCAAACCAUCUACAUUUUGGAGAAACCCCAAGUUCUGGUUGUUUUCUGGCUUGAUGGUAGUUGAAAGAAGUGUUAAGGAUGUUGAGAUGAAGCCGCUGUCAAAAUUUGGUGACCAUCGGAGGAGUUGGCCGACGAGUGAACAGUGCCGACGAGUGAAUAGUCGGGUGACAUAUCGAAUUAUUAUUUGGUGAAGGAACUCGUACGCGUGAACGACUAAAUAGUACUGUGAGUGGACUUUUGUUUUAAAUAACGAUGCAUGCAUUUAUUUUCUUAAAA